This 469-nucleotide ribosomal RNA is filed under the name uncultured bacterium. RNAcentral describes it as "SSU rRNA". It matches the Rfam family "Bacterial small subunit ribosomal RNA", at positions 26 to 518 of the family's 1533-position model. The record is from RNAcentral.
AGGACGAACGCUGGCGGCGUGCUUAACACAUGCAAGUCGAGCGGAAAGGCCCUUCGGGGUACUCGAGCGGCGAACGGGUGAGUAACACGUGAGCAACCUGCCCUUAGCUCUGGGAUAGCUCCGGGAAACCGGAAUUAAUACCGGAUAUGACCUAGGCCGACAUCGGCCGUGGUGGAAAGUUUUUCGGCUAGGGAUGGACUCGCGGCCUAUCAGCUAGUUGGUGGGGUAAUGGCCUACCAAGGCGACGACGGGUAGCCGGCCUGAGAGGGCGACCGGCCACACUGGGACUGAGACACGGCCCAGACUCCUACGGGAGGCAGCAGUGGGAAUCUUGCGCAAUGGGCGAAAGCCUGACGCAGCGACGCCGCGUGGGGGAUGAAGGCCUCGGGUUGUAAACCCUUUCAGCAGGACGAAGCGAAAGUGACGGUACUGCAGAAGAAGCGCCGGCUAACUACGCGCCAGCAGCCGC